AUUGAACGCUAGCGGGAUGCUUUACACAUGCAAGUCGAACGAGUGGCGGACGGGUGAGUAAUAUAUCGGAACGUGCCCAGUAGAGGGGGAUAACUACUCGAAAGAGUGGCUAAUACCGCCUACUAUUGGAGCGGCCGAGAUUGGAUUAGCUAGUUGGUGGGGUAAAGGCUCACCAAGGCAACGAGCCGUAGCUGGUUUGAGAGGACGACAGGCCAAACUGGGACGGAGACACGGCCCAGACUCCUACGGGAGGAAGCAGUGGGGAAUUUUGGACAAGGGGGGAAACCCUGAGCCAGCCAUCCCGCGUGUAUGAGAAGGCCUUCGGGUUGUAAAGUACUUUUGGCAGAGAAGCGGUAUCUGCAGAAUAAGCAACGGCUAACUACGUGCCAGCAGCCGCGGUAAUUA
RNAcentral lists this ribosomal RNA (405 nucleotides) under uncultured bacterium. RNAcentral's name for it is "partial 16S ribosomal RNA". It matches the Rfam family "Bacterial small subunit ribosomal RNA", at positions 30 to 525 of the family's 1533-position model. The record is from RNAcentral.